AGCCGGAGGGGCUGCACUGCACCGAGCUUGCACAGGGCGAGGCGGGGGCAGGACCUGGGACCCAGCCACCCCGGAGGAAACCGGAGAGGAAACCAGCUUGGUCUUGCUCUCUGCCUCGUCCCAAUCCCCGGCUCUUACCAAAUGCAGCAGUGAAAAGGAGGCUGCCAACCCCAAGCAGGGAGGAUUCGGGAGAUCCAUGUAUGGUAUUCUGUCCUGGUCAUGACCCUGCAAGGGACAUAACUGCCUUGUCACCUGGACAAUUGAGAGAAGAAUAUCACAUGCCAUGUUUCACUCAGGAAGCACUCAGUGCCUAUGGGGGAUGGGAAGUGAAGAAUGUCUGGGGACGCUGUCCCAACUGAUCCUUUUUCACUGGCUUUUAAUGGGGGUUUCUAGAAAGAGAAGCACUUAUUCAUUGAUAAAAAUAAAACAUAAUUAGACACAGCCUCCUCUGCCCCUCACCUGAUGGAGUUUUCAGCAAUAUCAAGAAGAACCACCAUACUGAUAAUGCAAAUCUUGAUUCCCUCUGCUCCAUUACACUCCCUUUUAGUCUCACUUUUGGUCCAUAGCAAUUCAGCAAGCUAAGGAGUCAGGAAGUAGUAAGGUCAGCCAACUGUUUCACCAGGGUGAUGCCAGAUAAUACCAGACAGUGUGAUCAAUGGAUAAAGGGAAUGUGAAUAUAAAGAAGAAAAAAGCCCCUUGGCAACCAGAAUGAGUUGGGCUAGAAAUUGAACUCAGCAACUGUUAAAAUCUGACCCACGGCAAGGCAAGCUUCCCAAAGGUGACUUCACAGUGUCGGCAUUAGUGUUGAUUAUAUCACGUGGGUUAAGGUCUUAGAACAGAGGAGAUGUUCGGCAGAAGGCAGCUGCCCUCCCUACCAAAGACUCUGAAAGACAUGAUGCUGUCAGAGGUUGUGCCAUGGUCUAUGAUCAUGGUCUCUGAUUCAACUCCAGA
This 951-nucleotide long non-coding RNA is filed under the name Homo sapiens (human). RNAcentral's name for it is "HSALNT0379027". Lineage: Eukaryota; Metazoa; Chordata; Mammalia; Primates; Hominidae. The record is from RNAcentral.